GGUUAAGCGACUAAGCGUACACGGUGGAUGCCCUGGCAGUCAGAGGCGAUGAAGGACGUGCUAAUCUGCGAUAAGCGUCGGUAAGGUGAUAUGAACCGUUAUAACCGGCGAUUUCCGAAUGGGGAAACCCAGUGUGUUUCGACACACUAUCAUUAACUGAAUCCAUAGGUUAAUGAGGCGAACCGGGGGAACUGAAACAUCUAAGUACCCCGAGGAAAAGAAAUCAACCGAGAUUCCCCCAGUAGCGGCGAGCGAACGGGGAGCAGCCCAGAGCCUGAAUCAGUAUGUGUGUUAGUGGAAGCGUCUGGAAAGGCGCGCGAUACAGGGUGACAGCCCCGUACACAAAAAUGCACAUAUUGUGAGCUCGAUGAGUAGGGCGGGACACGUGGUAUCCUGUCUGAAUAUGGGGGGACCAUCCUCCAAGGCUAAAUACUCCUGACUGACCGAUAGUGAACCAGUACCGUGAGGGAAAGGCGAAAAGAACCCCGGCGAGGGGAGUGAAAAAGAACCUGAAACCGUGUACGUACAAGCAGUGGGAGCACGCUUAGGCGUGUGACUGCGUACCUUUUGUAUAAUGGGUCAGCGACUUAUAUUCUGUAGCAAGGUUAACCGAAUAGGGGAGCCGAAGGGAAACCGAGUCUUAACUGGGCGUUAAGUUGCAGGGUAUAGACCCGAAACCCGGUGAUCUAGCCAUGGGCAGGUUGAAGGUUGGGUAACACUAACUGGAGGACCGAACCGACUAAUGUUGAAAAAUUAGCGGAUGACUUGUGGCUGGGGGUGAAAGGCCAAUCAAACCGGGAGAUAGCUGGUUCUCCCCGAAAGCUAUUUAGGUAGCGCCUCGUGAAUUCAUCUCCGGGGGUAGAGCACUGUUUCGGCAAGGGGGUCAUCCCGACUUACCAACCCGAUGCAAACUGCGAAUACCGGAGAAUGUUAUCACGGGAGACACACGGCGGGUGCUAACGUCCGUCGUGAAGAGGGAAACAACCCAGACCGCCAGCUAAGGUCCCAAAGUCAUGGUUAAGUGGGAAACGAUGUGGGAAGGCCCAGACAGCCAGGAUGUUGGCUUAGAAGCAGCCAUCAUUUAAAGAAAGCGUAAUAGCUCACUGGUCGAGUCGGCCUGCGCGGAAGAUGUAACGGGGCUAAACCAUGCACCGAAGCUGCGGCAGCGACGCUUAUGCGUUGUUGGGUAGGGGAGCGUUCUGUAAGCCUGCGAAGGUGUGCUGUGAGGCAUGCUGGAGGUAUCAGAAGUGCGAAUGCUGACAUAAGUAACGAUAAAGCGGGUGAAAAGCCCGCUCGCCGGAAGACCAAGGGUUCCUGUCCAACGUUAAUCGGGGCAGGGUGAGUCGACCCCUAAGGCGAGGCCGAAAGGCGUAGUCGAUGGGAAACAGGUUAAUAUUCCUGUACUUGGUGUUACUGCGAAGGGGGGACGGAGAAGGCUAUGUUGGCCGGGCGACGGUUGUCCCGGUUUAAGCGUGUAGGCUGGUUUUCCAGGCAAAUCCGGAAAAUCAAGGCUGAGGCGUGAUGACGAGGCACUACGGUGCUGAAGCAACAAAUGCCCUGCUUCCAGGAAAAGCCUCUAAGCAUCAGGUAACAUCAAAUCGUACCCCAAACCGACACAGGUGGUCAGGUAGAGAAUACCAAGGCGCUUGAGAGAACUCGGGUGAAGGAACUAGGCAAAAUGGUGCCGUAACUUCGGGAGAAGGCACGCUGAUAUGUAGGUGAGGUCCCUCGCGGAUGGAGCUGAAAUCAGUCGAAGAUACCAGCUGGCUGCAACUGUUUAUUAAAAACACAGCACUGUGCAAACACGAAAGUGGACGUAUACGGUGUGACGCCUGCCCGGUGCCGGAAGGUUAAUUGAUGGGGUCAGCGCAAGCGAAGCUCUUGAUCGAAGCCCCGGUAAACGGCGGCCGUAACUAUAACGGUCCUAAGGUAGCGAAAUUCCUUGUCGGGUAAGUUCCGACCUGCACGAAUGGCGUAAUGAUGGCCAGGCUGUCUCCACCCGAGACUCAGUGAAAUUGAACUCGCUGUGAAGAUGCAGUGUACCCGCGGCAAGACGGAAAGACCCCGUGAACCUUUACUAUAGCUUGACACUGAACAUUGAGCCUUGAUGUGUAGGAUAGGUGGGAGGCUUAGAAGUGUGGACGCCAGUCUGCAUGGAGCCGACCUUGAAAUACCACCCUUUAAUGUUUGAUGUUCUAACGUUGACCCGUAAUCCGGGUUGCGGACAGUGUCUGGUGGGUAGUUUGACUGGGGCGGUCUCCUCCUAAAGAGUAACGGAGGAGCACGAAGGUUGGCUAAUCCUGGUCGGACAUCAGGAGGUUAGUGCAAUGGCAUAAGCCAGCUUGACUGCGAGCGUGACGGCGCGAGCAGGUGCGAAAGCAGGUCAUAGUGAUCCGGUGGUUCUGAAUGGAAGGGCCAUCGCUCAACGGAUAAAAGGUACUCCGGGGAUAACAGGCUGAUACCGCCCAAGAGUUCAUAUCGACGGCGGUGUUUGGCACCUCGAUGUCGGCUCAUCACAUCCUGGGGCUGAAGUAGGUCCCAAGGGUAUGGCUGUUCGCCAUUUAAAGUGGUACGCGAGCUGGGUUUAGAACGUCGUGAGACAGUUCGGUCCCUAUCUGCCGUGGGCGCUGGAGAACUGAGGGGGGCUGCUCCUAGUACGAGAGGACCGGAGUGGACGCAUCACUGGUGUUCGGGUUGUCAUGCCAAUGGCACUGCCCGGUAGCUAAAUGCGGAAGAGAUAAGUGCUGAAAGCAUCUAAGCACGAAACUUGCCCCGAGAUGAGUUCUCCCUGACUCCUUGAGAGUCCUGAAGGAACGUUGAAGACGACGACGUUGAUAGGCCGGGUGUGUAAGCGCAGCGAUGCGUUGAGCUAACCGGUACUAAUGAACCGUGAGGCUUAACCUU
RNAcentral lists this ribosomal RNA (2904 nucleotides) under Escherichia coli. RNAcentral describes it as "23S ribosomal RNA". It matches the Rfam family "Bacterial large subunit ribosomal RNA". Lineage: Bacteria; Pseudomonadati; Pseudomonadota; Gammaproteobacteria; Enterobacterales; Enterobacteriaceae. The record is from RNAcentral.